CACGUAGGGCGCAAGCGUUGUCCGGAAUUAUUGGGCGUAAAGAGCUCGUAGGCGGUUUGUUGCGUCUGCUGUGAAAUCCCGGGGCUUAACCCCGGGCCUGCAGUGGAUACGGGCAGACUAGAGGCAGGCAGGGGAGAAUGGAAUUCCCGGUGUAGCGGUGAAAUGCGCAGAUAUCGGGAGGAACACCGGUGGCGAAGGCGGUUCUCUGGGCCUGUACUGACGCUGAGGAGCGAAAGCGUGGGGAGCGAACAGG
Molecule: ribosomal RNA, 253 nt
Filed under: uncultured bacterium
Lineage: Bacteria
Description: partial 16S ribosomal RNA
Rfam family: Bacterial small subunit ribosomal RNA
Source: RNAcentral